Molecule: long non-coding RNA, 944 nt
Organism: Pseudomyrmex gracilis
Lineage: Eukaryota; Metazoa; Arthropoda; Insecta; Hymenoptera; Formicidae
Exons: 6
Source: RefSeq, a predicted model, not a curated record
GCUGCGUUUAGCACAUAAAUUACUUUGUACAGUCUUAGUAUUCUCACUCUUUCAUUAUAUUCAGUUGUGUAUCGUAUAAUAAACCGUUGUUACAUUUAUAUAAUAAGAAUCAGCAUACAGUCAGUGUUAUUUAGUGCCUGUCACACAAUCCUUUCUCCUGUGCCGGCUUCAACGGAAACGUUUUCGAUCGAUACGAAUUGAAACUCCGCUUCGGAAAAAAUCAAUCAUCGAAAAUCAAGCAAUAUGUUUUUAUAUUAAAGAUAUGUGUCGGAGGACAGACGAAAAAGAUAAUUGCUCCGUUCACAUCGUAAUAACUAAGUGUUUUUGUUGUAAACGUAAAACAGCUAUUAAUAUGAAGAUGUAAUCACUUAUAAUUGUCAAUAACUAAACCAAAAAUUUUGUCAAUUUCCAUUAAAGUUGAUUACAUACAGAAAACUCAACAGUUAUACAACGAUUGAAAGAUGAUCAAUUGUGAUAGAAUUAUUUUUAAAAACCUGCUAGGGUCCCAAAAGUAUGACGAUAUGAUCAAAUCCACAUAUUCAACCUGUCUCGUAGAAGCAAAAUGUAGAAUGUGUCAAAAUACAAGUCAAUGUUAUUAUUAUAACUUUACGACAAUUCGGAAACUUUACCAGAUAUGCGAGAACAACUUCUUAAUAGCAAAGAAGCUGCAGAACACGAAAAACAAUUUUAUAAACAAAAUUGAAUUAUCAAAAUCGAAUUGUCAAAAACAGAUCAUGAAAGACAACAAAGACAAUUUGGAUAGUUUGAUUGCAAAUAUAAAACAGUUUCUAUACAAGCAUGCUGUUAGUACUGCUAUUAUGCACUCAAAAAAUUUGAAUAGCGUGUCGAUAACUUGAGAACUCUAUAUCCUUGGCGCGACAACAAUGAAUGUACAUAUAUAGCAGUAUGUGAUAGAUAAUUGUAAAAUAAAGUAUAUAUAUGAG